Molecule: ribosomal RNA, 253 nt
Filed under: uncultured bacterium
Lineage: Bacteria
Description: partial 16S ribosomal RNA
Rfam family: Bacterial small subunit ribosomal RNA
Source: RNAcentral
GACAGAGGGGGCAAGCGUUGCUCGGAAUUACUGGGCGUAAAGGGCGCGUAGGCGGGAUGGCAAGUCGGUCGUGAAAUCCCUCGGCUCAACCGAGGAACGUCGAUCGAUACUGCUGUUCUUGAGGAUUGCAGAGGAGACUGGAAUUCCCGGUGUAGCGGUGAAAUGUGUAGAGAUCGGGGGGAACACCGGUGGCGAAGGCGGGUCUCUGGGCAAUUCCUGACGCUGAGGCGCGAAAGCGUGGGUAGCAAACAGG